GGCCCGUUCGUCUAUCGGUUAGGACGCAUGGUUUUCAUCCAUGUAAGAGGGGUUCGACUCCCCUACGGGCUA
This 72-nucleotide transfer RNA is filed under the name Flavobacterium sp. RNAcentral describes it as "tRNA-Glu". It matches the Rfam family "tRNA". Rfam says of the family: Transfer RNA (tRNA) molecules are approximately 80 nucleotides in length. Their secondary structure includes four short double-helical elements and three loops (D, anti-codon, and T loops). Lineage: Bacteria; Pseudomonadati; Bacteroidota; Flavobacteriia; Flavobacteriales; Flavobacteriaceae. The record is from RNAcentral.